RNAcentral lists this ribosomal RNA (745 nucleotides) under uncultured bacterium. RNAcentral describes it as "bacterial SSU rRNA". It matches the Rfam family "Bacterial small subunit ribosomal RNA", at positions 33 to 773 of the family's 1533-position model. The record is from RNAcentral.
ACGCUGGCGGCAGGCCUAACACAUGCAAGUCGAGCGGUAGAGAGAAGCUUGCUUCUCUUGAGAGCGGCGGCCGGGUGAGUAAUGCCUAGGAAUCUGCCUGGUAGUGGGGGAUAACGUUCGGAAACGGACGCUAAUACCGCAUACGUCCUACGGGAGAAAGCAGGGGACCUUCGGGCCUUGCGCUAUCAGAUGAGCCUAGGUCGGAUUAGCUAGUUGGUGAGGUAAUGGCUCACCAAGGCGACGAUCCGUAACUGGUCUGAGAGGAUGAUCAGUCACACUGGAACUGAGACACGGUCCAGACUCCUACGGGAGGCAGCAGUGGGGAAUAUUGGACAAUGGGCGUAAGCCUGAUCCAGCCAUGCCGCGUGUGUGAAGAAGGUCUUCGGAUUGUAAAGCACUUUAAGUUGGGAGGAAGGGUUGUAGAUUAAUACUCUGCAAUUUUGACGUUACCGACAGAAUAAGCACCGGCUAACUCUGUGCCAGCAGCCGCGGUAAUACAGAGGGUGCAAGCGUUAAUCGGAAUUACAGGGCGUAAAGCGCGCGUAGGUGGUUUGUUAAGUUGGAUGUGAAAUCCCCGGGCUCAACCUGGGAACUGCAUUCAAAACUGACUGACUAGAGUAUGGUAGAGGGUGGUGGAAUUUCCUGUGUAGCGGUGAAAUGCGUAGAUAUAGGAAGGAACACCAGUGGCGAAGGCGACCACCUGGACUAAUACUGACACUGAGGUGCGAAAGCGUGGGGAGCAAAC